CAGCAGUUUCCUUGUCAAUGAUCUGAGUGCUUUCUAUUUGGACGUCGCUAAAGAUGUUGUGUACAUCGAGGCGAAAGAUGAUCCUAAGCGGCGUGGUAUGCAAACCGUGAUGUUUGCCGCCUUAUUGACCGUCACUAAGUUGAUCACGCCGAUUCUGCCGCAUACAGCAGAAGAAGUUUGGCCAUAUCUCAAGCAGCCAGAAGCCUAUGCUGCUUUGGCUGAUAUGCCAGAAGCAGAACAGUUUGAUGAUGAAAGCCAAUUGUUAGAUAUCUGGUCAGGCUUUAUGGACUUCCGUUCUGAAGUGCAAAAGGCUUUGGAACUUGCUCGUGAUAACAAAGUUAUCGGGAAGUCGCUUGAAGCUGCAGUCACAGUUUAUCCUUCUGAACCUGUUCGCGAUAUGCUGGAUGACGUCGAUGCCAAUGUGAUGCAGCUUUUGAUCACAAGUCACUUCGAAAUUGCGCCUGCAACUACAAAGGCACCGGCCGAUGCCGAACAGUUUGAUGACAUGGCUGUUGUUGUAAAACAUGCUGACGGCGAAGUUUGCCCACGCUGCCGAAUGGUGCGUACAGAUAUUGGUACAGAUCCAAAGUUGCCGCAAUUGUGCAGCCGGUGUGCAGCUAUCGUUGAGGCUAAUUUCCCAGAUGCUGUCACUAACGGGUUUGAUAAGUAGGCGGGUGAAGACAUGCAAGGACGCGUUAAAAACUUUAACGUUGACAAAGGCUAUGGCUUUAUUGAAGCUGAGGGGCAACCGGAUAUAUUCGUUCACUUUUCGGCGAUUAAUGAACCGGGAUUUAAAAGUCUGACACCCGGUGAAACGGUUGAUUUCGUUAUUGUUGAAGGGCCUCGGGGUCCACAAGCAGCGAAUGUGACGGUUCAUCGGUCUGAGGAUGGUGCUCCGCAAUAGACUUUUUGACGCCCCGUUGUCGGCUGGCGAUAGGGCGCUUACGUAAAUCCUAGACAGUAAAAAACACCGCGAGAUCAAAUCGCGGUGUUUUUGUAUACAGCAUUCAGUUUUUGUGGUGCAAGUUUUUAAACUUAAAUUACUUGUUGAUUUCUUCGAUCUUACCGUCAUGCGUACGGGCAACGGUCAUCUGAGUAACGGGGAUGUAACCGAGCUUUGGUACCAAUGUCUUUUGGACAUUCUUUGACUGAAUAUAAUUGAUGAAAGCUGCUGUGGAGGCGUUUGGUUUGCCUUUGGUGUACAUAUGUUCAUAGGCCCAAAUCUUCCAAGUGUUGGUGGUCACAUUCUUGUCCGUUGGUUGGACAUGAUUAAGGGCAAGCUUUUGAACACCGUCUUUAAUUGCUGAGAAGGCGAGAUAGCUGAUGGCACCCGGUGUUGUUGAAACCAUCUGAUAAACAGUACCGCUAGAAUCUUGUUCCUGACUGGUUUUAACUUUAUUUGUUUUGAUCCCGAACUGUUCGAACGUUGCUCGUGUCCCGGAACCUUGUGCGCGGUUAAUCAAUACGAUGGCCUGAUCUUUACCACCAACUUCUUUCCAGUUAGUGAUCUUGCCUUGGAAAAUAUCAACUAAUUGCUGCGUGGAGAUGUUUUUGACGCCGGCGUCCUUGUUGACAACUGGCGCAAUCGCAACAACAGCUACCUGAUGGUCAACCAGAUCAUCAGCUUUCAAAUCAGAUUUUUCUUGGGCAAAAAUGUCUGAAUUACCGAUUGUAACUGAACCGGCUGCAACUUGACUCAAACCGGCGCCUGAACCACCACCUUGCACGGUGAUUUCUGCCUUAGGAUUGUCUGUUUGAUAUUGCUUAGCUGCCUGUUCAACCAAAGGCUGUAAAGCUGUUGAACCAACUGCCAAAAUCUUGCUCUGCUUGAUUGGGGCAGAGCUGGAUUUGCUUGAACUGCUGGCGGAUUUGGACCCGCAGCCUGCCAAUACUAAGGUGGCGGCUAAGGCCACGGUCAAACCGACGAACAAUUUCGAAUGCUUCAUUACUUUUCCCUCCAAUACUUGAAUAACCUAAGCAUAAGGUUGCUGUGUAAAGACUUCGCCACGUUGCUGUAAAGAAUACGUUUUACUUUUGUAAAGGCUGUAACGGUUCCUUUGAAAUGCCGACAACACUCGGCGUAUAAUGACGCAGAUAGGCUUUAUUAAAGGAGCGAAACACGUGAAAAAUUACAUUGAGGACAAAAAUGUUCAGAAAAAUCGGUGGUGGAUCCUAACUGCCAUCGGAAUGUUUACAAUUAUGUCGACGCUAGAUGGGUCAAUUGUCAACAUUGCUUUACCAGUGAUGAGUCGCGAUUUACAUAUUCCAAUGAAUCAAGCGGAGUGGGUGGUUUCGAUUUAUCUGAUGAUGAUCUGUGGUUUGUUGCUGUUUUUUGGCCGGCUAGGUGAUUCAAUUGGCAAAAUCAAAGUUUUCCGAGUUGGGAUGGUACUAUUCUUAAUUGGUUCGCUUUUUGCCGGUUUCAACAAUAGUCUUGCCUUGUUGCUUGCUGCGCGAAUUGUUCAAGCUACCGGUGCAUCUAUGACCAUGGCGAACAAUAAUGGGAUCGUAACGGAGA
RNAcentral lists this ribosomal RNA (2515 nucleotides) under Lacticaseibacillus paracasei. Its description in RNAcentral is "Lactobacillus paracasei 23S ribosomal RNA". The record is from RNAcentral. Lineage: Bacteria; Bacillati; Bacillota; Bacilli; Lactobacillales; Lactobacillaceae.